Molecule: ribosomal RNA, 467 nt
Filed under: uncultured bacterium
Lineage: Bacteria
Description: bacterial SSU rRNA
Rfam family: Bacterial small subunit ribosomal RNA
Source: RNAcentral
UUCCUACGGGGGGCUGCAGUGGGGAAUUUUGGACAAUGGGGGCAACCCUGAUCCAGCCAUGCCGCGUGAGUGAAGAAGGCCUUCGGGUUGUAAAGCUCUUUCGCGAGGGAAGAAAUUGCACCGGAUAAUACCUGGUGUAGAUGACGGUACCUUGAUAAGAAGCACCGGCUAACUACGUGCCAGCAGCCGCGGUAAUACGUAGGGUGCGAGCGUUAAUCGGAAUUACUGGGCGUAAAGCGUGCGCAGGCGGUUUAGUAAGACAGGCGGGAAAUCCCCGGGCUUAACCUGGGAACUGCGCUUGUGACUGCGAGGCUAGAGUACGGCAGAGGGAGGUAGAAUUCCACGUGUAGCAGUGAAAUGCGUAGAGAUGUGGAGGAAUACCGAUGGCGAAGGCAGCCUCCUGGGCCAGUACUGACGCUCAUGCACGAAAGCGUGGGGAGCAAACAGGAUUAGAUACCCGGGUAGUC